Erinaceus europaeus (western European hedgehog) is the source of this 261-nucleotide long non-coding RNA. RefSeq lists it as uncharacterized. The record is from RefSeq and is a predicted model, not a curated record. The transcript has 2 exons. NCBI's taxonomy places the organism in Eukaryota, Metazoa, Chordata, Mammalia, Eulipotyphla, Erinaceidae.
AUGGGGGGUAGCCCAGCAGGAGGGCACUUGGUUGGGAAGGGCGGCUCUGCCCUGGGCCUGCCUGCCUGCAAGCGUGGCCUGGCACCAGUGGCACGGAGAAGGGAGGCCCCAUCUGACCCCAUGGCUUGGAUGAAGUGAAGGCUGGCAAAUGGAAACAUGGCGCCAUCCAGAUCCGUUUUCCCACCUCUAACAGGAGGGCCUUGUUCGGCAUCAUCUCUCAGCGCUUAUCCAAAGUCCUCAAGGCAUAAACAUGUAGCUGCA